CCUGGCAUUAUGGUUGAAGUAUGCACAUCCCCCCAUGGGCUCCAGUACAGAAGACUUGGUCUCCCACUCUGCGCUAUUUGGAAGGGAUAGAAAUUAGGAGUUGGAAGAAAUCAGUCUCCAGAGAGGAAACUUUGAAGAUUCUGCAGUACCUCACAAGCCUGCUCAUGUAAAGUGAACCCAGCUGACAGAAGUCUCAAGUCCUCUGUUCUGGUUUAACUGUAUGCCUCACAUACUAGGAUAUUCGAAUAAAAGUGGGAAGUCUGGUAAGAGAACGGAGACAAAAUCAAAUUUCAUACAAAGGACUUGAAGCUAGUGGGCCAUUAAUUUGCUCUCUUUCUUCUAAUUAUUAUUGAGCUUUUGACAGAAGAACUUUAUAAAGAGCCACCUCUUUGAUAAACUCAACUCUUUUUCUUCAA
Molecule: long non-coding RNA, 416 nt
Organism: Peromyscus eremicus (cactus mouse)
Lineage: Eukaryota; Metazoa; Chordata; Mammalia; Rodentia; Cricetidae
Exons: 2
Source: RefSeq, a predicted model, not a curated record